CCUUGUCUUUAGUUGCCAUCAUUAAGUUGGGCACUCUAGAGAGACUGCCAGGGAUAACCUGGAGGAAGGUGGGGAUGACGUCAAAUCAUCAUGCCCCUUAUGCUUAGGGCUACACACGUGCUACAAUGGGUAGUACAGAGGGUUGCCAAGCCGUAAGGUGGAGCUAAUCCCUUAAAGCUACUCUUAGUUCGGAUUGUAGGCUGAAACUCGCCUACAUGAAGCUGGAGUUACUAGUAAUCGCAGAUCAGAAUGCUGCGGUGAAUGCG
RNAcentral lists this ribosomal RNA (266 nucleotides) under Clostridioides difficile. RNAcentral's name for it is "partial 16S ribosomal RNA". It matches the Rfam family "Bacterial small subunit ribosomal RNA", at positions 1103 to 1370 of the family's 1533-position model. Lineage: Bacteria; Bacillati; Bacillota; Clostridia; Peptostreptococcales; Peptostreptococcaceae. The record is from RNAcentral.